RNAcentral lists this ribosomal RNA (253 nucleotides) under uncultured bacterium. RNAcentral describes it as "partial 16S ribosomal RNA". It matches the Rfam family "Bacterial small subunit ribosomal RNA", at positions 524 to 776 of the family's 1533-position model. The record is from RNAcentral.
UACAGAGGGUGCGAGCGUUGUCCGGAAUCACUGGGCGUAAAGGGCGCGUAGGUGGCGACCCAAGUCGAUGGUGAAAGCUCGCCGCUCAACGGCGAGUCGGCCACCGAUACUGGGUUGCUUGAGCACUGUAGAGGCUAAUGGAAUUCCGGGUGUAGCGGUGGAAUGCGUAGAGAUCCGGAAGAACACCGGUGGCGAAGGCGGUUCUCUGGGCAUUACCUGACGCUGAGGAGCGAAAGUGUGGGGAGCGAACAGG